GUACUAACAUGAUUUUUUUAGAAUCUUUCAUUUUCAAGCAUCUAAGUCAAUUGCUAGGCGUUAUUGUUUACUUGCCAUGUCGAGAAAGUACAGAAAUGGGAAGCAUAAGUUGUGGACGAGUGCUUUUGGCCCUUCAUUAUCAAGAGAACAACUAAUUGCUAAAGUCCUUGAUGGCAUUCCAGAAGAUCAAUGGUUGUCAUUUAUUGACAAUCAUUUGAAACCAUAGUAUCAGGAGUUAUGUCGGAGGAAUGCUGAAGUCAGACAAAAGCAAAUUGUUCCACACACAAGUGUGGCUAAACUGUUGUCGAGGAAACACAUGAGAUGGUCAUAUACUUUAGGAAGUAGAGCUUGGACGUCCCGUUAGUCAAGGUAAAUUGUACAUUGCAUCUCACAGGAAAAAAGAUGGAUCCUAUGUCAAUGAGGAGGCAAGGUCUAUUGGGGAGAAGUUGACAGAAGAAAUUAGCAAGUGAGCCAAUCCUACAGAAAUUUCAACUAAUGAUCCCCUUGCCAAAGUGUUAGGAUGAGAUCAUUCUGGUCAUGUACGUUGUUCAGGUUUAGGAGGUCUUCACAGUGUUGCAUUUCAAUCAAAUAAAAAUUUUAGUGCCACAGGUUGCAAUUUAUCAAAUUCCGAUUCAGUUAAAAGUUCUCAACUGGAAGAUGUUAAUAGUUUGAAGAUCAAGUUAGCAACUUCUGAGGAAAAUUUCAAGGCAUUACAAAAUGUAAUGCUGACAUACAUACAAAUGAAGGAAGGGCACAUCCCUGCAGAGUUGGGUGCUUUGUUUGAUACUAAUCAAGGGGAUGAAAGGAGCGGAGAAGAUAUGUCAACAUCAGAAAGUGGAUCUUCAUUGGCUAGUUAUCGUUAUUAGAAAUGAUGCACUUAGUUAAACUCUUUUGUACUUAUGUUUGACACUUUGUUCAGUUUAACAUGCAGUUUGUAACUUUUAUUUGUAUGGAUUUUCGAAGAUGUUCAUGGAGA
Molecule: long non-coding RNA, 976 nt
Organism: Glycine soja
Lineage: Eukaryota; Viridiplantae; Streptophyta; Magnoliopsida; Fabales; Fabaceae
Exons: 5
Source: RefSeq, a predicted model, not a curated record